GUGCUAACCUUGGCAGCACAUACACUAAAAUUGGAAUGAUAGAGAAUAGAUUGGCAUGGCCCCUGUGAAAGGAUGACACACAAAUUUGGGAAGCAUUCUGUAUUUUU
Molecule: non-coding RNA, 107 nt
Organism: Otolemur garnettii (small-eared galago)
Lineage: Eukaryota; Metazoa; Chordata; Mammalia; Primates; Galagidae
Source: Rfam